AACGAACGCUGGCGGCAGGCCUAACACAUGCAAGUCGAACGCUCCAGCAAAGGAGAGCGGCAGACGGGUGAGUAACGCGUGGGAACCUACCCUUUGGUUCGGAAUAGCCCAGGGAAACUUGGGGUAAUACCGGAUAAGCCCUUCGGGGGAAAGAUUUAUCGCCAAUGGAUGGGCCCGCGUCGGAUUAGCUAGUUGGUGGGGUAACGGCCCACCACGGCGACGAUCCGUAGCUGGUCUGAGAGGAUGAUCAGCCACACUGGGGCUGGGACACGGCCCAAACUCGUACGGGAGGAAGCGGUGGGGAAUAUUGGACAAUGGGCGCAAGCCUGAUCCAGCCAUGCCGCGUGAGUGACGAAGGUCUUCGGAUUGUAAAGCUCUUUUGGCGGGGAAGAUAAUGACGGUACCCGCAGAAUAAGCCCCGGCUAACUUCGUGCCAGCCGCCGCGGUAA
Molecule: ribosomal RNA, 449 nt
Filed under: uncultured bacterium
Lineage: Bacteria
Description: partial 16S ribosomal RNA
Rfam family: Bacterial small subunit ribosomal RNA
Source: RNAcentral